Long non-coding RNA from Populus euphratica (Euphrates poplar), 181 nucleotides. RefSeq lists it as uncharacterized. NCBI's taxonomy places the organism in Eukaryota, Viridiplantae, Streptophyta, Magnoliopsida, Malpighiales, Salicaceae. The record is from RefSeq and is a predicted model, not a curated record. The transcript is spliced from 2 exons.
GACAGAAUCGUCACGUAAUGUAACCUCACAAAUUGGUGCAUUGAACUUCAGCGAGGAACUGUCUACCCCAGAAAAGUUACAUUCAACCCUCUGGCCUUUAUGCUGCCAGCAUCUUUUGUUUCCCUGAAUGGGUUGCUUUCUGCAGAAAGAACCAUUUCCCAACAUCACUCCACAAAUAUUG